CAGAGGCUUGGCUUGGUGUUUUCCUUUCUUUUUGUACUGAGCACGAGUGAGGUGGUGGUAGUAGAAGGGGAAUAUGGGGAGAGAUAAGAAAGAUGUUUUAUUAGUAAAAUGGCUAUUCAUUUUAGAGUAGACUGCUUUAUUGUGGGAAGGAGUUUGAGCAGGUGCACUCGGAUAAUGGAGGCGUGUAGCUUAUUUGCGCGCUUAGAAGGAAAAUGUAAUGUUGAUAAUUGGUGCAGAAAUGUUUGCAGAUGGGUGUUGGAGUUAAUCAGACAAAUAUGCUAGAAUUUGACAAGCAGUGAAAAUGCGCACCAGACGAAAACCCCGAGAUUAGUGGCGUCCCAACGGUGUGGUCGCAACGGUAGCAUGGAUUAUUGCAAGAUGCGUUGCAUCAAAGGAAGCCGGAACUUUACGAAAGGGUUUUCAAUUAGAAAUCUUGUAAGCUGAAAGGGUUUUCAAUUAGAAAUCUUGUAAGCCGAAAGGUGUGUGAAGAAAGUGAUAUUUUCAAAUAUAAUUGACAAGGUGAUCUUGGCUUUUUAAUAAAGUUUUCUAUUU
Molecule: long non-coding RNA, 552 nt
Organism: Erpetoichthys calabaricus (reedfish)
Lineage: Eukaryota; Metazoa; Chordata; Cladistia; Polypteriformes; Polypteridae
Exons: 5
Source: RefSeq, a predicted model, not a curated record